CGAGUACUCCCUCCGUCAUAAAAUUCUUAUCUUAAAUUUGUUUAGAUACGGAUAUAUCUGAUACAAAAGCGUGACUUGAUGUAUCUUUAUUUAGACAAAUCUAAGACAAGAAUUUUGAAAUGGAAGGAGUAUUAU
Molecule: non-coding RNA, 135 nt
Organism: Triticum aestivum (bread wheat)
Lineage: Eukaryota; Viridiplantae; Streptophyta; Magnoliopsida; Poales; Poaceae
Source: Rfam